ACCACUGUCAAUCUAUCUACUACUGCUAAUCUAUACUGCUGCCAAUCUAUCUAUUGCUGCUAAUCUAUUGCUGCUGCCAAUCUAUCUACUGCUGCUAAUCUAUCUAUUGCUGUCAAUCUAUCUACCACUGCUAAUCUAUUGCUGCUAAUCUAUCACUGUUAAUCUAUUGCUGCUAAUCUAUCUAUUACUGCUAAUCUAUUGCUGCCAAUCUAUCUAUCACUGUCAAUCUAUCUACCACUGCCAAUCUAUCUACCACUGUCAAUCUAUCUACUGCUGUCAAUCUAUCUACCACUGCUAAUCUAUCACUGCUAAUCUAUCGCUGCUAAUCUAUUGCUGCUAAUCUAUUGCUGCUAAUCUAUUGCUGCUAAUCUAUUUAUCACUGCUAAUCUAUCACUGUCAAUCUAUCUACCGCUGCCAAUCUAUCUACUGCUGCCAA
This 436-nucleotide small RNA is filed under the name Histoplasma capsulatum. Its description in RNAcentral is "hypothetical RNA". The record is from RNAcentral. Lineage: Eukaryota; Fungi; Ascomycota; Eurotiomycetes; Onygenales; Ajellomycetaceae. RNAcentral also lists the same sequence under 1 other name.